RNAcentral lists this ribosomal RNA (668 nucleotides) under Vibrio sp. Its description in RNAcentral is "bacterial SSU rRNA". It matches the Rfam family "Bacterial small subunit ribosomal RNA", at positions 346 to 1006 of the family's 1533-position model. Lineage: Bacteria; Pseudomonadati; Pseudomonadota; Gammaproteobacteria; Vibrionales; Vibrionaceae. The record is from RNAcentral.
GAGCAGCAGUGGGGAAUAUUGCACAAUGGGCGCAAGCGUGAUGCAGCCAUGCCGCGUGUGUGAAGAAGGCCUUCGGGUUGUAAAGCACUUUCAGUCGUGAGGAAGGUGGUAGUGUUAAUAGCACUAUCAUUUGACGUUAGCGACAGAAGAAGCACCGGCUAACUCCGUGCCAGCAGCCGCGGUAAUACGGAGGGUGCGAGCGUUAAUCGGAAUUACUGGGCGUAAAGCGCAUGCAGGUGGUUUGUUAAGUCAGAUGUGAAAGCCCGGGGCUCAACCUCGGAAUAGCAUUUGAAACUGGCAGACUAGAGUACUGUAGAGGGGGGUAGAAUUUCAGGUGUAGCGGUGAAAUGCGUAGAGAUCUGAAGGAAUACCGGUGGCGAAGGCGGCCCCCUGGACAGAUACUGACACUCAGAUGCGAAAGCGUGGGGAGCAAACAGGAUUAGAUACCCUGGUAGUCCACGCCGUAAACGAUGUCUACUUGGAGGUUGUGGCCUUGAGCCGUGGCUUUCGGAGCUAACGCGUUAAGUAGACCGCCUGGGGAGUACGGUCGCAAGAUUAAAACUCAAAUGAAUUGACGGGGGCCCGCACAAGCGGUGGAGCAUGUGGUUUAAUUCGAUGCAACGCGAAGAACCUUACCUACUCUUGACAUCCAGAGAACUUUCCAGAGA